This 804-nucleotide ribosomal RNA is filed under the name uncultured fungus. RNAcentral describes it as "eukaryotic LSU rRNA". The stretch from base 202 to 355 matches the Rfam family "5.8S ribosomal RNA". The record is from RNAcentral. Lineage: Eukaryota; Fungi.
GAGGGGCAUGUGAGGGCUGUCGCUGACUCAAAGUCGUGCACGCCCGAGUGUGUCCUCUCACAUAAUAAUCCAUCUCACCCUUUGUGCAUCGCCGCGUGAGCACCCUUUGGGAUCAUCUCGGAGGGGGCUCGCGUUUUCACACAAACCCCCCUUUUAAAAGUGUAGAAUGACCUCAUUUAUGCGCUAACACGCAAUCAAUACAACUUUCAACAACGGAUCUCUUGGCUCUCGCAUCGAUGAAGAACGCAGCGAAAUGCGAUACGUAAUGUGAAUUGCAGAAUUCAGUGAAUCAUCGAAUCUUUGAACGCACCUUGCGCCCCUUGGUAUUCCGAGGGGCACACCCGUUUGAGUGUCGUGAAAACCUCAACCUCCUUGGUUUCUUCUGGAGACCAAAGGCAGGCUUGGACUUUGGAGGCCCUUGCUGGAACCUCUCUCUUUUGAAGGCCAGCUCCUCUUAAACGAAUUAGCAGGGUCCUCUUUGCCGAUCCUCGACGUGUGAUAAGAUGUUUCCAUGUCUUGGUUUCUGGCUCUGUCACUUUUGGGACCCGCUUCUAACCGUCUUGACCUUGCAUCGAGACAAUGUUCGAGCAUGUCUCCCUUCUCGGGAAGCUCCCUCGACCCCACGAACCCUUGACCUCAAAUCGGGUGAGACUACCCGCUGAACUUAAGCAUAUCAAUAAGCGGAGGAAAAGAAACUAACAAGGAUUCCCCUAGUAACUGCGAGUGAAGCGGGAAAAGCUCAAUUUAAAAUCUGGCGGUCUUUGGCCGUCCGAGUUGUAAUUUARAGAAGCGUCUUCCGCGCUG